CCUACGGGUGGCAGCAGUGAGGAAUAUUGGUCAAUGGUCGGGAGACUGAACCAGCCAAGCCGCGUGAGGGAUGAAGGUACAGAGUAUCGUAAACCUCUUUUGUCAGGGAACAAAGGCGGGGACGUGUCCCCGGAUGAGUGUACCUGAAGCAAAAGCAUCGGCUAACUCCGUGCCAGCAGCCGCGGUAAUCCGGAGGAUGCGAGCGUUAUCCGGUUUUAUUGGGUUUAAAGGGUGCGCAGUCGGUCUUUUAAGUCAGCGGUAAAAGCCCGGGGCUCAACCCCGGCCCGCCGUUGAAACUGGCAGUCUCGAGUUGGAGAGAAGUAUGCGGAAUGCGCGGUGUAGCGGUGAAAUGCAUAGAUAUCGCGCAGAACUCCGAUUGCGAAGGCAGCAUGCCGGCUCCACACUGACGCUGAGGCACGAAAGCGUGGGUAUCGAACAGGAUUAGAUACCCGUGUAGUC
Molecule: ribosomal RNA, 459 nt
Filed under: uncultured bacterium
Lineage: Bacteria
Description: partial 16S ribosomal RNA
Rfam family: Bacterial small subunit ribosomal RNA
Source: RNAcentral